ACGAAGGGUGCAAGCGUUAAUCGGAAUUACUGGGCGUAAAGGGUGCGUAGGCGGUUCGUUAAGUCUGUCGUGAAAUCCCCGGGCUCAACCUGGGAAUGGCGAUGGAUACUGCCAUGCUUGAGUACUGGAGAGGAGAUUGGAAUUUACGGUGUAGCAGUGAAAUGCGUAGAUAUCGUAAGGAGGACCAGUGGCGAAGGCGAAUCUCUGGACAGUUACUGACACUGAGGCACGAAGGCCAGGGGAGCAAACGGGA
This 253-nucleotide ribosomal RNA is filed under the name uncultured prokaryote. Its description in RNAcentral is "partial 16S ribosomal RNA". It matches the Rfam family "Bacterial small subunit ribosomal RNA", at positions 525 to 777 of the family's 1533-position model. The record is from RNAcentral.